AGAAAUGGAUUCGGAGGUCUCUUCUCGUACGACAUCUGAAUCCGAUUCCAAUUCGUUCCAUGAGUCGUCGACGGAUUCUACCCACGAAAACGUGG
This 95-nucleotide non-coding RNA is filed under the name Polytomella parva. The record is from RNAcentral. Lineage: Eukaryota; Viridiplantae; Chlorophyta; Chlorophyceae; Chlamydomonadales; Chlamydomonadaceae.